UUCUUCCGCUAGUCCUAACUCUACCUCCUCCACAAAUUUGAUUUUAACUAAUUUUGUCUAUACCAUCUUCUACGUGAAUUCUUCACCAUUCAACCUCAACCCAAAAAAGUAUCCAAACAAGUGACUUAAUCAAAGACAUAAAAUUUCUGACAAAGGAGCAAUUCUUACCUAGUCAUGCAACCCCAAAUCAAGCAAUAUUUUCUCAUGAGAAAGACUCCUUUUGCCUGCACCAUAUUUUGAAUAAGGAGCUUAUAGAUACUAUGGAUAAAUUCAAGUAUUCAACAUCCUCUUAAUCUCAUAAAACACUUGUAAUAUUCUUGGCUAUUAUGGUGUGUAUCAUUUGUUGACGGCGGUG
This 355-nucleotide long non-coding RNA is filed under the name Medicago truncatula (barrel medic). Its description in RNAcentral is "long non-coding RNA (MTRU_LNC006728)". Lineage: Eukaryota; Viridiplantae; Streptophyta; Magnoliopsida; Fabales; Fabaceae. The record is from RNAcentral.